Non-coding RNA from Coffea arabica (coffee), 661 nucleotides. Lineage: Eukaryota; Viridiplantae; Streptophyta; Magnoliopsida; Gentianales; Rubiaceae. The record is from RefSeq and is a predicted model, not a curated record.
UUUGGAUGCAGACAAUACAUUGAGCAAGAGGUAGAUCGGGCUGGCAUUGGAAAGGCUCUCCGUUGUCUUCUCCUACCUUUUUUCUCUUUUCAUCUUUUGUCUCUCCCCUUUGCUUCUAAUCUCCAUGUCCAUGCUGAAGAAAUCCUAUUCUUCAGUUGUAAUGGUCAUUUUUUCUGGAACACAAGGGAGUCAAAUGUAGUACUACUAGCUAGUCCUCUGAAAUAAGUUUCAGUAAACAGGUACAACGUACGACGAGGGGUCGUGCUCAAAUAUUUAUAUGUACAUACCUAUCCUCUGCUUGUUUCAACUUUCAAGAAGAAUCUGUGGUGGUAGAUCUGCCUAGCCCCUUACUAUGUACGAUUCAGCGCAGAUAAAAAUACGAAGCAAUAUGACCAAAAUCCCAUUCUUGGAGGGACAUACGUGUCUUCACCUAUUGUUUUGCAUCUCACUCGUUUGAAUCACCAAUAGUUCCUGUCAAUGAUCUAUCACCAUGGAAUAAAAUAUCCCACUUAUUGAAACUUUUGCAGAAGAUACUUUUCUGUAUUUUGCUUCCUCCUUCCUUCCCCAGCCAUGGCUGGGAGACUGGUCAUGAAACUUUACUGGUAGAGGAGGACGCAAUUUUGUCUUUUUUUUCUUCAAUAUGCCAUGACUGUUAAGCUCA